Molecule: long non-coding RNA, 2396 nt
Organism: Ruditapes philippinarum (Manila clam)
Lineage: Eukaryota; Metazoa; Mollusca; Bivalvia; Venerida; Veneridae
Exons: 6
Source: RefSeq, a predicted model, not a curated record
AUCCUUGAUGUACUCAUAACUUUGUGAUAUUGAAACAUGAGCGUUUAUUAGAAGUGGAUUUAUUUUUGAAAAUGAAUUUUAAAGAGAUAAUGCUUGGAUUUUAUCGACAGAUGUCACGAAUUUCAAAUUAGUUUGGUUUUUGUAAUAAUGUUAAAUUUAGGGCCUCUGCAAGUUGAAGCCUCACUUGAUAGAAGUAUUGGAUGUUAUAAAGACUAUAAAAACCGAGUGCUGAGUGGAAAACAGUACAAAACUAGACCCAAACGGAAGAAAGGAAUGUAAACAGUUUUGUCAAGGUUUCAGAUAUUUUGGUACCGAGAGUGGGGAAGAGUGUUUUUGCGGAAAUAAAAUAAGGUAUUGUAAAAAGACAGCACAUUGUACCUACAAAUGUAGAGGUAACCCGGAUGAAUACUGUGGUGGUGAUUGGCAAAUUAUGAUAUACGUCACAAAGUCAUAUGAAAAUACGUCGACAACAUCAUCUACAGAAAUAAGUGCGAGUACACAUCACGUGACUGAGACCAGCAAAAGUACCAGUUCACAGUCGAGUGUAAGUCCAGUGAUUGAGACUAGCAAAAGUACCAGUCCACAGUCGAGUGUGAAUCACGUGACUGAAACUAGCGAAAGUACCAGUCCACAGUCGAGUGUAAAUCACGUGACUGAGACUAGCAAAAGUACCAGUCCACAGUCGAGUGUGAAUCACGUGACUGAGACUAGCAAAAGUACCAGUACACAGUCAAGUGUGAAUCACGUGACUAAGACUAGCAAAGUACCAGUCAACAGUCGAGUAUUAGUCCUAUCAUUGAGACAGGAAGUACCAGCAAAAGCCAUCAACAAAUCAGGAUACUUUAUCUACACUUAAACCAGUGAGGAAAACGAACACAGGCGAUGACAAAACUUCUGUUUCCUAUUUGUAUAUUUUAUUGCCACUGGGAAUAUCGUUAUAGCGGUGAUAUUGGUUAUAAUUAUUUGUAAGAGGCGGCUCCGUUGUAAGAAAGAUUCUGAUCCAGUAGCUUCAAAUAGUGUGGUGUACGCUGCACCACACAGCACGGCAUUCCUUACUGCUUUUCAUGAAACCGAAUCUGAGCAUACAAACGCAAUGAGGUCUGGAUAUGUUAAUGAUGCCAACACUGGUAAUGAAGUUAAUGACAGAGCUGGAAAUUAUACGGAAGAAUCGGAGGAUUAUAAUGUGAUCAAUCUCAGAUCAAAUAAUAAGACUGUUCACAAUGAUUCAAAUGACAAUUUGCAGGAACAGAAUGCUUGCUCGCCAGGUGACAGUAAUACGAUCUACAAUAAAUUAAAAUUAGUUAACAGUGGAAAUCAAAAUAAAAGUGAGCUAUUGUAUGAUCAAACGGAUAAAGGAUCGUUAGAGAGUAAUGCUAAGAGACACUCAAUACACAAUGAUACAGAAUAAUUCCAAGGAUUCGAUGAAAAUAAGAAAAAAAAGUGUUAAAGACAACAUUUAUGCUAAAGAGAGGGAUAUAGUUUUUCACACAAAUUUGAAAUAGCGGUUCGACUGUUGUUGAAAUAUUGCACAGUGGUUAAAUGUAAUUGCAUUUAACAACUCGGUUUACGUAAAAUAGCACAACAGUAACAAGUUACUUAUUUUCUAGUAAAACAAUGGUUCAACUGUUUUAUUUUAAUAGCUGUUUGUUUGUUUCAUUUUACGCCUUUUCCUAACUACCGUCAUAUGCUUUGUAAAUUUGUUGUCCUUUUUCCUUUAAGAAGAAAACCUUACAAAUAUCAGUCUUUGUAAAGGCAAAUGUUUCUAUUCAUUUCAAAGCUGAGAGAAAUACUAAGAUAUGUUAUUUUUACCUUAUAGUAAAAUUAAGAGGGGAUGAUAAUGUAAUUUCUUAAAAUACCCGUUACUGACAAAACAUAUUAAAGAAUUUUUUGAUGGUCUUGCGAGUUUUUUGAUGAUUUAUGUCAACUGAAAUAAUGAAACUGCUGAAAUGGAAAAGUGACUAUAAUAUCGCCAUCGUUUUGAGCUAUCUUUGUUGAGCUAUAUGUUUAAAUACAGGCUUGCGAUAUAGACAUCAUAUUUGUAUAACUUUAGGAUUAUAUUGUUUAACACUAAGAAAGAAAAUCUGUCAGAGUAUUUUACCAUUUUAGUAUCUGAUUUGAAAGAAUCGAAAUGAAUGUUCAGCAAUAUUGAGGUAUAUAUACCGUCAAAUAGGGUUUGAUUAAACAAUGAUUUACUGAAAACAUCCUCAGCAUGAAUCAAAAAGAUAAAGUUGUUCAGUAAACGAUGAGAUUACCUAAGAUUAAUUAUAAAAUUGUAAAUUGGUCAUUAAACACCUGCUAUUCAUGUACAUGCAUGUUUUUGUUAUUGUAAUUGUUGAUAAUUGUUAUGCUAAAAUAAAGAAAGACAACUCUUGUCUAAAUAAAUUCCAAAAUGUAAA